UUGUCCUACGGGAGGCAGCAGGGGGGAAUAUUGGACAAUGGGGGAAACCCUGAUCCAGCGACGCCGCGUGAGUGAAGAAGUAUUUCGGUACGUAAAGCUCUAUCAGCAGGAAAGAAAAUCACGGUACCUGACCAAGAAGCCCCGGCUAACUACGUGCCAGCAGCCGCGGUAAUACGUAGGGGGCAAGCGUUAUCCGGAUUUACUGGGUGUAAAGGGAGCGUAGGCGGCUGUGUAAGCCAGAAGUGAAAGCCCGAG
Molecule: ribosomal RNA, 255 nt
Filed under: uncultured bacterium
Lineage: Bacteria
Description: partial 16S ribosomal RNA
Rfam family: Bacterial small subunit ribosomal RNA
Source: RNAcentral